CUUGUUUGUGUUUUAAACACAACCUACAAUCGCGUUUUUUCCUAACCCUGUGAAAACCCAGUGUCAGAUGAGAGAGGCUGCAUCUAUCAGCCCACCUUCCCCCUUAGCACAGGGAAUCUGGCUGACUUCAGCUUGGAUUCUUGAAGCUCAGUGGUUCUCAAACUUCGGCGUGCAUCGAAACCACUUGGAGGGCUUGUCAAAACCCCUCUCAGAGCUCCUGAUUCUGUAGGUCUGGGGAGAGCCUGAGAAUUUACACCUCUAACAAGUUUCCGAGUGAGGCUGAUGCUGCUGGUCUAGUCGC
Molecule: long non-coding RNA, 301 nt
Filed under: Homo sapiens (human)
Lineage: Eukaryota; Metazoa; Chordata; Mammalia; Primates; Hominidae
Description: HSALNT0159258
Source: RNAcentral